GUAGGGAGCGAGCGUUAUCCGGAUUUAUUGGGUGUAAAGGGUGCGUAGGCGGCUUUUUAGGUCUAAGGUUUAAGCCCGGAGCUUAACUCCGGUUCGCCUUAGAAACCGAUUGGCUUGAGUAUGGUAGAGGCAAGUGGAAUUUCUAGUGUAGCGGUAAAAUGCGUAGAUAUUAGAAGGAACACCAGUGGCGAAGGCGACUUGCUGGGCCAUUACUGACGCUGAGGCACGAAAGCGUGGGGAGCGAA
This 245-nucleotide ribosomal RNA is filed under the name uncultured bacterium. RNAcentral describes it as "partial 16S ribosomal RNA". It matches the Rfam family "Bacterial small subunit ribosomal RNA", at positions 527 to 772 of the family's 1533-position model. The record is from RNAcentral.